UGAGGAAUAUUGGGCAAUGCCCGCAAGGGUGACCCAGCAACGCCGCGUGGAGGAUGAAUGUCGUAAGAUUGUAAACUCCUGUUAGAGGGGAAGAAUAGUACCGGUUGGACCGGUAUAUGACUGUACCCUCAGAGAAAGCCCCGGCUAACUACGUGCCAGCAGCCGCGGUAAUACGUAGGGGGCAAGCGUUGUCCGGAUUUACUGGGUGUAAAGGGCGCGCAGGCGGGAUAAAAAGUCAGUGGUGAAAUCCUACAGCUUAACUGUAGAACUGCCUUUGAUACUUUUAUUCUUGAGUUCGGGAGAGAGAGACGGAAUUCCAGGUGUAGUGGUGAAAUACGUAGAUAUCUGGAAGAACAACAGUUGCGAAGGCGGUCUCUUGGUCCGACACUGACGCUGAGGCGCGAAAGCGUGGGGAGCAAACA
This 422-nucleotide ribosomal RNA is filed under the name uncultured bacterium. Its description in RNAcentral is "bacterial SSU rRNA". It matches the Rfam family "Bacterial small subunit ribosomal RNA", at positions 355 to 774 of the family's 1533-position model. The record is from RNAcentral.